UCUGCCCUUCCGCUUUAACAUUGCAAAUUCGAGCGCCCCGCAAGGGGAGCGGCAGACGGGUGAGUAACGCGUGGGUCUCUACCCAUCUCUACGGACUCCCCAGGGAAACUUGGACUAAUACCGUAUACGUCCUUCCUGAGAAAGAUUUAUCGGAGAUGGAUCACCCCGCGUUGGAUUAUCUAGUUGUUGGGGUAAAGGCCUACCAAUGCGAUUAUCCAUAUAUGGACUGAGAGGAUGAUCACCCACACUGGGACUGAGACACGGCCCAGACUCCUACGGGAGGCAGCAGUGGGGAAUAUUGCUCAAUGGGCGCGAGCCUGAUGCAACAACGGCGCGUGAGGCAUGACGGUCUUCGGGUUGUAAACCUCUUUCGAUAUGGAACGAGCGAAUGUGACUGCCCCUACAGAAGAAGCACCGGCUAACUACCUGCCAGCCGCCGCGGAAAUACGUUGGGUGCCAGCGUUGUCCGGAAUUAUUGGGCGUUUAGAGCUUGUAGGCGGAUUGUCUCGUCUGCUGUGAAAAUCCGGGGCUCAGCCCCGGACUUGCAGGGGGUACGGCGAGACUACAGUGUGGUAGGGGACACUGGAAUUCCUGGUGUAGCGUUGAAAUGCGCAGAUAUCAUGAGGAACACCGAUGGUGAAGGCAUGUCUCUGGGCCACUACUGACGCUGAGAUGCGAAAGCGUGCGGAGCGAACAGGAAUUAGAUUCCCUGGUAGUCCACGCCGUAAACGUAUGGAACUCGGUGUGGGUCCCAUUCCACUAGAUCCGUGCCGAAGCCUAACGACUUAUGCUCUCUGCCCUGGGGAGUACCGCCGCCAAGAUUAAUAACUCUAAGGAAAUGACGGGGGCCCGCACAAUCGGUGGAGUCAUGUGGUUUUAUUCGAAGCCUCGCGCAAAUUCUUACCAAUUCUUUGACAUCCGGGACGCGGUUUCAAGAUAUGGAUCUCUUCAAUUCGGAUGGGAACCGCUACAGGUGCUGCAUGCCCUGUCGUACUCUCGUUGUGUGGACAU
RNAcentral lists this ribosomal RNA (1011 nucleotides) under uncultured bacterium. Its description in RNAcentral is "bacterial SSU rRNA". It matches the Rfam family "Bacterial small subunit ribosomal RNA", at positions 68 to 1074 of the family's 1533-position model. The record is from RNAcentral.